This 73-nucleotide transfer RNA is filed under the name Trichonephila clavata. It matches the Rfam family "tRNA". Rfam says of the family: Transfer RNA (tRNA) molecules are approximately 80 nucleotides in length. Lineage: Eukaryota; Metazoa; Arthropoda; Arachnida; Araneae; Nephilidae. The record is from Rfam by way of RNAcentral.
AUCCCUGUAGAGCAAUGGAUAGCGCUUUGGACUUUUAAUCCAGAGGUCGUGGGUUCGAAUUCCACCUGGAAUG